GGAGCCUGAUGCAGCGACGCCGCGUGAGGGAUGACGGCCUUCGGGUUGUAAACCUCUUUCAGCAGGGACGAAGCGCAAGUGACGGUACCUGCAGAAGAAGCACCGGCCAACUACGUGCCAGCAGCCGCGGUAAGACGUAGGGUGCGAGCGUUGUCCGGAUUUAUUGGGCGUAAAGAGCUCGUAGGCGGCUUGUCGCGUCGACCGUGAAAACUUGGGGCUCAACCCCAAGCCUGCGGUCGAUACGGGCAGGCUAGAGUUCGGUAGGGGAGACUGGAAUUCCUGGUGUAGCGGUGAAAUGCGCAGAUAUCAGGAGGAACACCGGUGGCGAAGGCGGGUCUCUGGGCCGAUACUGACGCUGAGGAGCGAAAGCGUGGGGAGCGAACAGGAUUAGAUACCCUGGUAGUCCACGCUGUAAACGUUGGGCGCUAGGUGUGGGGGGCCUCUCCGGUUCUCUGUGCCGCAGCUAACGCAUUAAGCGCCCCGCCUGGGGAGUACGGCCGCAAGGCUAAAACUCAAAGGAAUUGACGGGGGCCCGCACAAGCGGCGGAGCAUGCGGAUUAAUUCGAUGCAACGCGAAGAACCUUACCUGGGUUUGACAUGGCCGCAAAACUUCCAGAGAUGGGGAGGUCCUUCGGGGG
This 638-nucleotide ribosomal RNA is filed under the name Micromonospora sp. Ri2Pt_3923. RNAcentral's name for it is "bacterial SSU rRNA". It matches the Rfam family "Bacterial small subunit ribosomal RNA", at positions 378 to 1025 of the family's 1533-position model. Lineage: Bacteria; Bacillati; Actinomycetota; Actinomycetes; Micromonosporales; Micromonosporaceae. The record is from RNAcentral.